This 427-nucleotide ribosomal RNA is filed under the name uncultured bacterium. RNAcentral's name for it is "bacterial SSU rRNA". It matches the Rfam family "Bacterial small subunit ribosomal RNA", at positions 355 to 774 of the family's 1533-position model. The record is from RNAcentral.
UGGGGAAUUUUGGACAAUGGGCGCAAGCCUGAUCCAGCCAUGCCGCGUGAGUGAAGAAGGCCCUCGGGUUGUAAAGCUCUUUUGUCCGGAAAGAAAAGCAUUCGGUGAAUACCCGGAUGUUCUGACGGUACCGGAAGAAUAAGCACCGGCUAACUCCGUGCCAGCAGCCGCGGUAAUACGGAGGGUGCAAGCGUUAUCCGGAUUCACUGGGUUUAAAGGGUGCGUAGGUGGGCAGAUAAGUCAGUGGUGAAAUCUUCCGGCUUAACCGGGAAACUGCCGUUGAUACUAUUUGUCUUGAAUAUUGCGGAGGUAAGCGGAAUAUGUCAUGUAGCGGUGAAAUGCUUAGAUAUGACAUAGAACACCAAUUGCGAAGGCAGCUUACUACACAAUCAUUGACACUGAGGCACGAAAGCGUGGGUAGCGAACA